CUUGCGGUACUAUUUCGUUGGUUUCUAGGACGCGAGUAAUGAUUAAUAGGGAUAGUUGGGGGCAUUCAUAUUUAAUUGUCAGAGGUGAAAUUCUUAGAUUUAUGAAAGAUGAACAUGUGCGAAAGCAUUUGCCAAGGAUGUUUUCAUUAAUCAAGAACGAAAGUUAGGGGAUCGAAGACGAUCAGAUACCGUCGUAGUCUUAACCAUAAACUAUGCCGACUAGGGAUUGGCGGAUGUUCCAUUUACGACUCCUUCAGCACCUUUAGCGAAAGCAAAGUUUUUGGGUUCCGGGGGGAGUAUGGUCGCAAGGCUGAAACUUAAAGGAAUUGACGGAAGGGCACCACCAGGAGUGGAGCCUGCGGCUUAAUUUGACUCAACACGGGGAAACUC
This 390-nucleotide ribosomal RNA is filed under the name Eukaryota sp. RNAcentral's name for it is "SSU rRNA". It matches the Rfam family "Eukaryotic small subunit ribosomal RNA", at positions 827 to 1216 of the family's 1831-position model. The record is from RNAcentral.